CAUGCAAGUCGAACGAAGCACUUAAGAUUGACUCUUCGGAUGAUUUCUUUUGUGACUUAGUGGCGGACGGGUGAGUAACGCGUGGGUAACCUGCCUCACACAGGGGGAUAACAGUUAGAAAUGACUGCUAAUACCGCAUAACCCGAUAGGAUCGCAUGAUCCAGACGGAAAAGAUUUAUCGGUGUGAGAUGGACCCGCGUCUGAUUAGCUAGUUGGUGAGGUAACGGCCCACCAAGGCGACGAUCAGUAGCCGGCCUGAGAGGGUGAACGGCCACAUUGGGACUGAGACACGGCCCAAACUCCUACGGGAGGCAGCAGUGGGGAAUAUUGCACAAUGGGGGAAACCCUGAUGCAGCGACGCCGCGUGAGUGAAGAAGUAUUUCGGUAUGUAAAGCUCUAUCAGCAGGGAAGAAAAUGACGGUACCUGACUAAGAAGCCCCGGCUAACUACGUGCCAGCAGCCGCGGUAAUACGUAGGGGGCAAGCGUUAUCCGGAUUUACUGGGUGUAAAGGGAGCGU
This 518-nucleotide ribosomal RNA is filed under the name uncultured bacterium. RNAcentral describes it as "bacterial SSU rRNA". It matches the Rfam family "Bacterial small subunit ribosomal RNA", at positions 54 to 572 of the family's 1533-position model. The record is from RNAcentral.